Lolium rigidum is the source of this 1908-nucleotide long non-coding RNA. RefSeq lists it as uncharacterized. The transcript has 10 exons. Lineage: Eukaryota; Viridiplantae; Streptophyta; Magnoliopsida; Poales; Poaceae. The record is from RefSeq and is a predicted model, not a curated record.
CCGUCGACCAGACCGUGGCCUCGCCGCGCGCGCCCUGCUCCGGGGCGUCGCCGCGCAGAGGAGCAGCAGUAGGAACGAGGCGUUCUAGUACUAGUGCCGCCGGUACAGGAGCUUCUCCGGCCAGGAAUCGAUCACCAUCCGUUGGUGCUACCUUCAGAGGGGCUGCAAGUUUUCAGGAAGUAAUAAGGCAAGAGGAAUUGGAGCUGCACAAAGACACUUGAUUCUUGUCUGUAAUUUGGAGUUGUACAAGGGCACCCGAGGCUUGGCUGUAAUUUGGCUAUCAAGUACCUGUUAUCUUUAAGAUCUUGUGAUAAGUGUGCAUAAGAGUAUGUGGUAAGGCUGCUGUUGGGCUAGCCGUGGCGGCUAGUUCAGCGCGCCGCAACCGCGGUGGUGGUGCUAUGUCGUUUUCUGCUACAAUUCUCUUAGGUGAAGGACACCUGUUCCCCCCACCUCUGGUUCCCGGUUUUUUGUUGCGCUGUGGAUCUGCACGUGCUUGCAUUCGUUUUUGGAAUUUGCAUCCUGAUGCGUGCUAACAGCUCCCAGAUUAGUAGAGAGCUUUAGGUGAAAAGUUCAGAUUUUAAGGUUUAAAUUUCAGUGUGAGCUAGUACAUGUACAUCCAGAUAAAUUUUAGUUUUGGUUUGAUCUAAUAUUGACUGAUGAUGUGCAAGAUUAGCUAGUCCGAGCUGUCAAGAUGCAUGCCACCGACAGUUGCAAGAGCCAUCGACUAAUUCGGUCUUGGUUUCUUUUUGCGUUGAAUCUUGAUAUUCAGAUAGUAUACCUGCUUGAACUAUUGCAUUGUUUUAUUGCAUUCUUUGUGCAAUCGCAAUGACUAGCUGUUGAUAUGUUUUCUAGGAUGCAGCAGUGGAAGGAAUCUGGAAGACCUGGAGCGGUGGCCUUCUUCUACUCCAUGUUGUGUCUAGGUAGAUUCUGAGUAUGUGGCAUGGCUGCUGCUCUGUAGACCGUGACGGCGAGUUAACCGUGCCGCAACCGCGGUGGUGGUGCCAUCAUGGCUGCACCUAAAAUUCUGUCAGGUAUACUUUCUUUUGACAUUUCCUGUUGGAGAGUUGUCAUGUGCCAAGCAAAGUCACGGAUGGGGAAGACUGCUUGUUGUAUUGUGCCACACUGCCACAUGAGAGAGCUGGCUUACCAGGUUGCUCUAUUCUAUGGAGGUGUUCACAUAAAGAAGCCCUAAGGAUUUAUUUGCUGCCGUCACUGUGGAAGGAUUCUAGCUCCAGCUAGAGAGAAGGACCUUUCUUUGAAGAAUGCGAAGCAUUUCAUUCUUGAUGAGUGUGAUAAGAUGAUAGAGUCACUUGGUAAUUUUUUACCGUGUGUAUAUCAUGCAUGGAAGUGGGAGAAGUGGAGCUGGAGCUGGUCAGGAGGCAGCGACGGCUGUCGGAUCCGGCUGGCAGGCUGUCAUGGCCUUCUUUUUCGAAUCCGUGGGUUUAGGAAAAUGGGGACUAAGUGAGAGACAUGUGUUGCAGCUGGAACCAGUGGCUGAGGGCGGCCAUCACUUGGAAGGAAGCUGGAAGACCCUGGGGACAAGCUCGGUCGGCUUCCUUUUUAGCGCUGUGGUUUGGAUGUCCAAAAAACAGACAAGGUCUUGCCAAAAUUUUGAGUACUCCCGUGGUAAUUAAUUCCGAACAUCUUGUUGGUGCGGUAGUCGGGAAGCGCGAACCAGAAAAAUCAUAUGUAGUGCUGCUUUUUGGUUCUUGUAAUAUUCGGUAGUACCUGACGCUGUAAAAUCCAUUUCUGUAGUGCUCUAGGCUUGGGUAGUUGUAACAAUUUGGUAAAUGUGCACGUGUGAGAUCUUUCUUCCUAGCUCGCGUUUCUCUUUGGGUUUGAUAAAUGUCAGCAAGGUUGGAUUGUGUGCUGCACAAACAUUUAUUCUAGUACUGUUAUAUUGUUUGA